CGUCAUUCUGACUGACUCGAAGUUUAGGAAAGUACACAUCAAAGUUUGUGCAAAACUUUGCUUUUAUGAAACGUUUUCGAAAUAAAAUCGUUACGCCAUGCAGAGGGAAAGGUCAGUAUUAAAUUUAGCUAUUUUUUAAACGUUUUUGAGUUGUUCUUGUUAAGUUAUUACUGUUUUUUAAAACACGUGUCUAUCAGUCAUUGUAGUAUGUAUUCAAUUUGAUUCCCAUUCAAGCGCUUCGUUUCAACGCUCAGUCGCUUUAUUUUCUCAGUGUCUUUCCCUAUUUUCCUAGCAGUAUUGUUCAGAAAUACCCUAGCUUUGAUUCAUUUAACUCAUAUUUAGUUUAUCUGCGAUUUUAGGGCGAAAAUUUGAAGAGAAAGUGAACUAAUUUAAGUCGCCGACAUGGUCGAAAUGCUGAAGCACAUGGUAAGCAUAAUGUCCAUUAAGGGCGUUUCCUAAUUCUUGUUUGUUUCUCGUUUUUAAGCUUCCCCAGUACACCUAGAACGUCUUAUAGCAUUGCUUUGUAGCCUUACGAACACUCUGAGUCAAGUUUAGUUACAAUAUUGGUGAAACUUUUGUCCAUACCGCGCGAAUUGCAGACUUAUUUUAGGCAUGUUCAGUUUCACAUGCAGGCGUGUCAUAUAAUUUUCGAACAUUUUAGCUUUUACAAACCAAUCGUUUAUGGUCUUUAUGUACAAAUUGUUCUCUGAGAGGGAAGGCUAAGCUUUCCCAGUUUCUUGAGCUUGUCUAAGCAGAGUUUCAACCAAUAUUUUUACGAAAUUUAGAGAUGAAAAGUCCUCGUGGUACAUGCCCUAAUUUUAUGCAUAGAUGCACCACGCAUUCUUUAAAAUAAAAAUAUUGAAUUGAAUAACCACACCCUGUGAAAACGACAUUGAAUAACUCGUUGUUUUAAAACUAACAAUUCAUUGUCCAAUUUUUUAGACUGCCUCAAAGUCGAUCAUUUCGAUGGCAAACACUACAGAAAUACCUCUGCACAGAUUUGAAGAGGCGCUCGCCUAGCAGUCGAAGCAAAACGAGAAAGACCAGAAGGCUGACAAAUGAGACCAGCCACCAGCUCCAUUCCUUUGCAAACCCAAAGCAUUCAUUGUCAGAUUUCGUUUGUGCAAAGUUUGGAAGAGAUUGCCACUUAUCCAGAGACAGUAACGAAGGCAUAUAAUAACAGAUUUCGUUCAAUCAGCUAGCUGUGAAUGAGAUGCAAAGACCUGCCAAGCGACAGUCGACGCCGUACCAUCCAGAGACCAUAACCAAUACGCCAUACCAUCAUGAAAGAUGUUGUACAUUACAGAAGGUAUAUUUUCCUCGUGAUUCUCGUUGUGCGUGUUCGAAAGUACGUGGGGGCCCACCCUGAAGACGCCCAAAUGCAUAAAACAAAUUUAAAUGUGGCACAUUUUCAUUAAUUUCGCAAUUUAUU
Non-coding RNA from Paramuricea clavata, 1432 nucleotides. Lineage: Eukaryota; Metazoa; Cnidaria; Anthozoa; Malacalcyonacea; Plexauridae. The record is from the annotation of a GenBank genome assembly.